Long non-coding RNA from Oreochromis aureus, 2164 nucleotides. The record is from Ensembl. Lineage: Eukaryota; Metazoa; Chordata; Actinopteri; Cichliformes; Cichlidae.
UGCAUUUGGGUCGAGUUAUUAUUUCAUCAAUGCCAGUCUUGAAAUAUCAAACCAAUUUGAGCCUAAACAGAAACACAUCCUGUUUGUUUAUUAGUCACAAGAAGAUGUCACAUAAAAAGAGAUGGUGCCAAAGUCAGGGGUUAAAAGUGGGACAGUGUUUUUUUGUGUUGUUUUUGCCACAGGUGUCCGUAAGUGACGGUUGGAGUACUUCAGCCUCUAGCUAGUGCUACAAAAGAGGAGCGAACAUAAAGGGAGAGCCUUUCUUUUAAGUGGCAGGGGGAGAAAAGAAAGAGAGCUAACGUCACUCAGAGAUGGAGAAAGAUAAGAAAGACAGAACAAGAGAGGUUAGAUAUAAAGGGUUUCCACCAGUUUAUCAAAGUCCAGCCUGACCUAAAGCCGAGUCAUGCAUCUCUUUGUAACCAAGCAGCAAGAAGCAACUGACAGCCUUCAGAACAUUUGGAACAUUUAAAUAAAUACAAGUGUCAAAAACUGCAGUUCAUCUAAUGGAGGCUGGCUCCAAAAAGUGGGUCAGUCCACAUAGACUCAUGUGUUAAGAUGCCCAGCUUAAUAGUAUUAAAGACCUUUAAGUUUAUGACCUGGUGCUAAAGGUGUUGACUGUACAGUUGUUACAGGGUGGAAUGGACAAUUUAAACUGAGUGUUUUUCAUCUUGCAUGGGUUGCUGUGUUUUAUUAUUUUUAAUCUUUUAACAAUGUACAGUGUUUUAUUCUUAUGGUUUUAUUGCAUGUUUUAUUGUAUAUAUUUGUUUACUUGUCUCGGAGAGACUCCGCCCCUUCCUGACUUACUAAGCUGACCCACCUGAGAGGUCAGGACUGCGAGAAUGACCAAUCAGGGUUCGCCUUUCGGACACUGUAGGCCAUAGGUGUCAAACUCUGGCCUGCGGGCCAAAUUUGGCCCGCGAAGCCAUACCAAAUUACUAUUAGAGCUGGCCUACUGGUAUUAUACAGCUAAUAUAUAUAUUGUUUAGUAUUAAGCUUUGCUUGUUCCAUAUUCAGUUUUUCAGCAAAAUGUGUUUGAGUCCAUAAGAAAAGAUUCAUUCUUAUAUCUGGAGGAAUAAAUAUAUUUCAAUAAAUAUUAACGUUAGCCCGCGACUUUGUUCCAGUUUUGAAUUUUGGCCCACUGUGUAUUUGAGUUUGACACCCCUGCUGUAGGCCAAUAAGAGGGCCUGGCGGGAUGAAAGAAAGGACAGAACAUGAGAGGCAGCUAUAUGAUGCGGCAGCUGGUGGUCUGCGGCGUCCGUGGAGAGCGGCAUGGAAGCGUGGAUAUAGGCGGCCUGGCGAGGCGCGCGGCGAAGGUGAACAGACGGAGGGGCAGCAGGACGGCGACGAGAGGAGACCGCGGCAAAGUGCUCGGGGACGAAGAGAGGACUGUGCUGGUGCUGGAGGGGAAGUAGCUCGACGCCGAGAAGAGACCACGGAGGGGAUUAAGAGGCAGCGGGAAGGCACCCUAUCUCGUCCCACGGCGAGACCAUAGCUACGGGUGCGAAACACAGCAAAGCGGCGGGCAGAGUUGAGAGCUCUGCCCAUCCGGGGUAAGUGCCGAGUAAUUCCUUGUGAGAAGGAACUCCGGUGACAUAAAACAGUGACUGUCGCUGCUCCCUCUCUUUUUUCAGUUAGCACCGGAGCGAAGAGGCGGACAAGGAAGGCCGAGGAAGCUGACGUUUUUCCCCCGUUGGCACUUUAGUGGAUUUUAAUGUUGUGGCUGAGGCCAUUGGACUUCUAGUGUAUUGUUUUCAUGUUUUUAACUUUGUUCUCCCUGGCCAGGGGUGUUUUAAUUGCGUGUAAGUCUUUUUGUUAAAUAAAUUAUCUUUUAAUACUUUACCGUUAUAAUCUAUUGCAUUGGUUCCCUGUACCUGCUCUGUCAGUUUUUUUUUUUGUUUUUUGAAGGGCUCCCCUUAGCGUAACACCUGGUGUCCACAAGUCAGAGACGCAGACGGUACAAGAUCAAUUACUUGUGUGGUGAAGAAGAUAACGGCAUAGUAGCAGUCUUUUCGGUGAAAAUACUCAUACUUCGGUGAAUUCCGAAGGUUGUGAGUACUUCACCUUAAGUCCCAGUCAGUGCAUGUGCACUAGCAUAGCGUGCUAAUUGCCGCUAACAAGGAACCCCAUUAGCUUCCACAACAGUGAUUGCUAGUCUUCCUGGGGC